Molecule: ribosomal RNA, 829 nt
Filed under: Escherichia coli
Lineage: Bacteria; Pseudomonadati; Pseudomonadota; Gammaproteobacteria; Enterobacterales; Enterobacteriaceae
Description: partial 23S ribosomal RNA
Rfam family: Bacterial large subunit ribosomal RNA
Source: RNAcentral
UACAGGGUGACAGCCCCGUACACAAAAAUGCACAUACUGUGAGCUCGAUGAGUAGGGCGGGACACGUGGUAUCCUGUCUGAAUAUGGGGGGACCAUCCUCCAAGGCUAAAUACUCCUGACUGACCGAUAGUGAACCAGUACCGUGAGGGAAAGGCGAAAAGAACCCCGGCGAGGGGAGUGAAAAAGAACCUGAAACCGUGUACGUACAAGCAGUGGGAGCCUCUUUUAUGGGGUGACUGCGUACCUUUUGUAUAAUGGGUCAGCGACUUAUAUUCUGUAGCAAGGUUAACCGAAUAGGGGAGCCGAAGGGAAACCGAGUCUUAACUGGGCGUUAAGUUGCAGGGUAUAGACCCGAAACCCGGUGAUCUAGCCAUGGGCAGGUUGAAGGUUGGGUAACACUAACUGGAGGACCGAACCGACUAAUGUUGAAAAAUUAGCGGAUGACUUGUGGCUGGGGGUGAAAGGCCAAUCAAACCGGGAGAUAGCUGGUUCUCCCCGAAAGCUAUUUAGGUAGCGCCUCGUGAAUUCAUCUCCGGGGGUAGAGCACUGUUUCGGCAAGGGGGUCAUCCCGACUUACCAACCCGAUGCAAACUGCGAAUACCGGAGAAUGUUAUCACGGGAGACACACGGCGGGUGCUAACGUCCGUCGUGAAGAGGGAAACAACCCAGACCGCCAGCUAAGGUCCCAAAGUCAUGGUUAAGUGGGAAACGAUGUGGGAAGGCCCAGACAGCCAGGAUGUUGGCUUAGAAGCAGCCAUCAUUUAAAGAAAGCGUAAUAGCUCACUGGUCGAGUCGGCCUGCGCGGAAGAUGUAACGGGGCUAAACCAUG